Molecule: RNA transcript, 5986 nt
Organism: Symphalangus syndactylus (siamang)
Lineage: Eukaryota; Metazoa; Chordata; Mammalia; Primates; Hylobatidae
Gene: ZNF14
Gene name: zinc finger protein 14
Source: RefSeq, a predicted model, not a curated record
GUGAGCGGGGCCACGCUGCGCCUGCGCAGUGCGGACGUCGCCAUUCCUGGCCCAUGGCAAGAUUGCGUUUCACCUGCUCCUGAAGGCCGAAGGUGGCUCUAGCGCAUCCUUUGUCGCGCCGUGACCUGCAGGUACUGACAGAUCCGUGGGGAGGACACCGUGACUUCCCGGACGCUGGGAAAUGACAUAUGUGGAAUGUUUCAGGACUCAGUCUCCUUUGAGGAUGUGGCUGUGAACUUCACCCUGGAGGAGUGGGCUUUGCUGGAUUCUUCACAGAAAAAGCUCUAUGAAGAUGUGAUGCAGGAGACCUUCAAAAACCUGGUCUGCCUAGGAAAAAAGUGGGAAGACCAGGACAUUGAAGAUGACCACAGAAACCAGGGGAGAAAUCGAAGAUGUCAUAUGGUUGAGAGACUCUGUGAAAGUAGAAAAGGUAGCAAAUGUGGAGAAACCACUAGCCAGAUGCCCAAUGUUAAUAUCAACAAGGAAACUUUUACUGGAGCAAAACCACAUGAAUGCAGCUUUUGUGGAAGAGACUUCAUGCAUCAUUCGUCCCUUAAUAGGCACAUGAGAUCUCACACUGAACAGAAACCAAAUGAGUAUCAGGAAUAUGAAAAGCAACCAUGUAGACGUAAAGCAGUUGGGAAAACCUUCAGUUAUCGCCACUGCUUUCGCAAACGUGAAAGAACUCACACUAGAGUGAAGCCCUAUGAAUGUAAACAGUGUGGGAAAGCCUUUAUAUAUUACCAGCCAUUUCAAAGACAUGAAAGGACUCAUGCUGGAGAGAAACCCUAUGAAUGUAAGCAAUGUGGAAAAACCUUCAUAUAUUACCAGUCUUUUCAAAAACAUGCUCAUACUGGAAAGAAACCCUAUGAAUGUAAACAGUGUGGGAAAGCCUUUAUAUGUUACCAAUCUUUUCAAAGACACGAAAGGACUCACACUGGAGAGAAACCCUAUGAAUGUAAGCAAUGUGGUAAGGCUUUCAGUUGUCCCACAUACUUUCGAACUCAUGAAAGAACUCACACUGGAGAAAAACCCUACAAAUGUAAAGAAUGUGGUAAAGCCUUCAGUUUUCUCAGUUCUUUUCGAAGGCAUAAAAGGACUCAUAGUGGAGAGAAACCCUAUGAAUGUAAAGAAUGUGGAAAAGCCUUCUUUUAUUCUGCAAGCUUUCGAGCACAUGUAGUAACACACACUGGGGCUCGACCUUAUAAAUGUAAAGAAUGUGGGAAAGCCUUCAACUCUUGUAAUUCCUGUCGAGUGCAUGAAAGAACUCAUAUUGGAGAAAAACCAUAUGAAUGUAAACAAUGUGGUAAAUCAUUCAGUUGGUCCAUUUCUCUUCGAUUGCAUGAAAGAACUCAUACUGGAGAGAAACCUUAUGAAUGUAAACAGUGUCAUAAAACCUUCAGUUUUUCAAGUUCUCUUCGAGAACACGAAACAACCCACACUGGAGAGAAACCCUAUGAAUGUAAACAAUGUGGUAAAACCUUCAGUUUUUCAAGUUCCCUUCAAAGACAUGAAAGGACUCACAAUGCAGAGAAACCCUAUGAAUGUAAACAGUGUGGGAAAGCCUUCAGGUGUUCAAGUUAUUUUCGAAUUCAUGAAAGGUCACACACUGGAGAGAAACCCUAUGAAUGUAAACAGUGUGGAAAAGUUUUCAUUCGUUCCAGUUCCUUUCGACUGCACGAAAGAACACACACUGGAGAGAAACCCUAUGAAUGUAAACUAUGCGGUAAAACCUUCAGUUUUUCAAGUUCCCUUCGAGAACAUGAAAAAAUUCACACUGGAAAUAAACCUUUUGAAUGUAAGCAGUGCGGUAAGGCCUUCCUUCGUUCCAGUCAAAUUCGAUUGCAUGAAAGGACUCACACUGGAGAGAAACCAUAUCAAUGUAAACAGUGUGGAAAAGCCUUCAUUUCUUCCAGUAAAUUUCGAAUGCAUGAGAGAACUCACACGGGAGAGAAACCCUAUCUAUGUAAACAAUGUGGGAAAGCCUUCAGAUUUUCAAGUUCUGUUCGAAUUCAUGAAAGGUCUCACACUGGAGAGAAACCUUAUGAAUGCAAACAAUGUGGAAAAGGCUUCAUUUCUUCCAGUCACUUUCGACUGCAUGAAAGGACUCAUAUGGGAGAGAAAGUCUAAGAAUAUAAGCAACAUUCUGAAGGCUUUGGUUGUUCCAGCUCCUUCUGAAUACACAAAAGAGUUCAUACUGGACAGAAGCUGUGUGAAUACAAACAUUGUUCUAAAGCCCUUGAUUGUUCCAGUUUCUUUUGAACACGAAAGAAUUCCCACUGUGCGUGUCACGUGUGCUGCUGCAGGGCUGGUUUCAUAGCCUUGCCUCCAAGGCCAGCACUUAACUGCUUCGUGGAACAGAACCCACCCUGCAGAACUCCAGCCUUGUGGUAUACUGGAAGCCGCCAUAUCAGAGAGGCGCCACCGGCCAUGGAGCCAACUCGCUUCAUGUCACUCCCAGAAUGCAAGGUGUACUGAACUCCCAAGAAACUGUGUCCUGACAGCACCGAAGAGUUCCUCCUUUGCUGAGCUGUGCAGCCAUGGUAGGUGUCAGGCCCUUCCUUUGGUGGAGGCAGUGCCCACUGUUACCUAGAUAGCAAGUCAGAGUGUCCCGCCAGGGUUGUAGCAGGAAUGAGGGAAGCCAGCUCACCGUCCAACCUCACAGCAACUUCCUGUCUCUCCCUGGAUACCAGAAGUGAUAUUUCUGUCACUUCAAGAUGUUUAGUCUGAGUUUUGUAGGCCUCCAUCCUACCCCAACGGCAGAUGUGGGUCAGGGGGCAGCCUUGCAAGGCUUGAGCAUGGUGGGGUCCUGUGAGGCCAUCUGGAGCAAGGUCUGCUGGCAGAUGUGCCCUUAGUGAAGGUGAGGGCUACCAGGAAGAGCUCAGAGGAGGGCAUGAAGCUGAGCCAUGAGAUCCAUGUCUUUGCUGCCACCACUGUGCUCUCAGUGGAAAAGCAAACUGACACACGGUCAAGUCAUGAGGGAUGUUUCUGGAAUCACCUACAAUUUAUAACAGUUGAAGGGCUGGAGCAGCAGCAUCAAUCCAUUUCCAGCCCUUACUUUUGCAUCCUUGAACUCACAUUUUCUACUUUUACAGAAAAGCACUUUUUAGAGUCUAUAUGCUCAAGUAGUGUAAAAUGUCUUCCCCAUCAGGAUGGGCUAAAGAGCCACUUUUUGUGAGAGGCUUGGGGGCUGGAAGCACCUCUCUGCUACAUGGGAUGUGGGUGAGAACAAUUCAGUCUUUGAAGAUUAAGUGUAUGUGAGCUUAUGGCGAGGUUUGUGUACAACCUGUUUGUGUGUCUAUUUGAGUCCUACAAUUCAAUAAGUGUUUUUGUGUUUUGUUUUGUUUUUUGAGACAGAGUUUCGCUCUUGUUGCCCAGGCUGGAAUGCAAUGGCACAGUCUUGGCUCACUGCAACCUCUACCUCCCAGGUUCAAGCAAUUCUCCUGCCUCAGCCUCUGGAGUAGCUGGGAUUACAGGCAUGCACCACCAUGCCCAGCUAAUUUUUAUAUUUUUGGUAGAGAUGGGGUUUCACCAUGUUGGCCAGGCUGGUCUCAAACUCCUGACCUCAGGUGAUCCGCCCACCUCCACCUCCCAAAGUGCUGGGAUUACAGGCACGAGCCACCGCACCUGGCCAAUUCAAUAAGUAUUAAUCUCCUUGAUACAACAGGCUCUCUAGUUGGUGUAAUGAACAAAUCUACACUAAUAUCCCUGUCUCCUCCAACCUGACAUUCUAGAAGAGAAGAAACAAGAGAAUAAGCAAAAAUAUACAGUAGAUCAUAGUGGUUAUUCCUCAGGAAGGAGAGCAACCUGGAGUAGAGGGGGCAGGCCUGGGGUCUGUGUGUCUCUGCAAGCAUCUGUUGGUAUCUCUGGGCCAUUUUUAUCUGUGAGUUUCUGUGUCUGUCUCUGGGUGUGUCCACCUGUGUGUACAGUGAAAAUGGUUAUGAUCUCUUGUAUGUCGGUCUGGGAGGCUGUGGGGCUGCGUGUAUAUAUUUUUUAAUCUAGAAUUGCUUCCAUUUCAUUUUCUUGCCUGAUUUCCCAGACAGCAUCUCCCUUAACACAUUGAGUAAAACUAGUUAGGGCCGGGCGCAGUAGCUCAUACCUGUAAUCUCAGCACUUUGGGCGGCCAAGUGGGCAGACCACUUGAGUCCAGGAGUUCGAGACCAGCCUGACCAACAUGGUGAAACCCCGUCUCUACUAAAAAUACAAAAAUUAGCUGGGUGUGGUGGCAUCUGCCUGUAGUCCCAGCUACUCGGGAGGCUGAGACGGGAGAAUCACUUGAACCUCUGGGAGGUGGAGGCUGCAGUGAGCUGAGAUGGUGCCACUGCACUCCAGCCUGGACAACAGAGUGAGAACUCUGUCUCAAAAAAAAAAAAAAAAAAAACCUGUUAGAGCAUACAUCCUUUUUUUCCGGAUCCAGUUUUUCACUGUCAAAAUGAUGUGGGUUUUUCAUAUAUGGCAUCAAUUGAGAUAAUUGUCAUUUUCCAUCAUUUUGCUAAUGUGGUAUAUGACAAUGAUCAGUUUUCAUAUUUUGAACCAUUUUUAUGUUCCAAGAAUAAAUCUCACUUGGCUAUGUUAUGUAAUGCUUUUAAUGUUGCUUCCUAUGGUUUGCUGGUGUUUAUUUGAGGAUUCCUGCAUCACCAUUCACAGUAGGAAUUAAUGCAAUCUUCCUUGCUCUCAAGCCAUUUCACACCUGCUUGUGAGCGCCCUGAGACCUCAAUUAUGUAAUAAGCCUUUUUAUACUCACUCACUAUGUGUCUGCCACAUAGCCAUGCGUGUCAACAUCAGAACCACACGUUUUCAGGCAACACUGGCAGUUGGCACCAUGAACAAGAUGUCUGGAUGCUGGUCACCACGCCACGGGUCUGUUCUCUCGUCCGGGUUGCUAACCUGCUCUGCUGCCCGGCAGCCAGUGUGUACUUUGAGCUGCUGCUUGCUGCCCUGUGUUGCGUUGCUGAGGCCUAGCCAGCCUUGGUUCCGGAUUCAGCUGAGCUAAGUCAGCAGUUUGCAUAAUUCCUUUACAUUGAGGAGCAGAAGUAUGGGAUUGCAGCCCCUCUUUUUUUUUUGAGACGGAGUUUCGCUCUUGUUGCCCAAGGCUGGAGUGCAAUGGCACGAUCUCGGCUCACCGCAACCUCUGCCUCCCAGGUUCAAACGAUUCUCCUGCCUCAGCCUCUUGAGUAGCUGGAAUUAAGGCAUGUGCCACCAUGCCUGGCUGAUUUUUUGUAUUUUUAGUAGAGACGGGGUUUCUCCAUGUUGGUCAGGCUGAUCUCGAACUCCCAACCUCACGUGAUCCGCCCUCCUCGGCCUCCCGAAGUGCUGGUCUUACAGGCGUGAGCCACCGCGCCCGGCUAAUUGCAGCCCCUCUUACACAGUCCUGGGUCAUAUGUUUUGGCUGGGACCUAGCUGUGGUUUUUUUGUUUUUUUUGUUUUUGUUUUUUUAGACAGAGUCUCUCUGUGUCACCCAGGCUGGAGUGCAGUGGCAUGAUCUUGGCUCACUGCAACCUCUGCCUCCCAGGUUCAAGCGAUUCUCCUGCCUCAGACUCCCGAAUAGCAGGGAUUACAGGAGGGUGCCACCACACCCAGCUAAUUUUUGUAUUUUUAGUAGAGAUGGGGUUUCAUCAUGUUGGCCGUGCUGGUCUCGAACUUCUGACCUCAGGUGAUCCAUCCGCCUCGGCCUCCCAGAACUCGGAUUAUAGGUAUGAGCCACUGCACCUGGCCUAGCUGUGGCUGUGUAUUUUAGAAUGAAGCUGUGACUAAUGCUGGGUAUUGGCCUUCAUCUAGGGUGCAGGCUGGUGGGGAGAUUUUUUUUUUUUUUCUGUGCAAGUUGUGGGCCCAUCAGGUAGUUAUUCCUGAAAAAGCAGUCAACUGAAAAACAGAAAGAAUAAAAAGAGUGGGGACUGGGAAGCUGCUAUUAGAUUGUAUCUUGAGGUCCACACUCUCCAGGACCCUUAAAUACCUCUGCUGCUGCUGCUGCUGCUGCUGCUCAUGC